Molecule: ribosomal RNA, 238 nt
Filed under: Candidatus Saccharimonadota bacterium
Lineage: Bacteria; Candidatus Saccharimonadota
Description: partial 23S ribosomal RNA
Rfam family: Bacterial large subunit ribosomal RNA
Source: RNAcentral
UAGUACGAGAGGACCGGGGUGGACGUACCUCUGGUGUAUCGAUUGUGGCCACCUGCUGCAUUGUCGAGUAGCUAUGUACGGACUAGAUAAGCGCUGAAAGCAUAUUAAGCGCGAAACUAACCUCAAGAUUAGAUUUCCCUAUGAGGACACAGAGAGACUAUCUGUUUGAUAGGUGCAAGGUGGAAGUGCAGCAAUGUAUGGAGCCGAAGCAUACUAAUAGUCCCAUUGCCUUUUUAUG